AUCGACAAUUUUUGUUACGUUUCCUUUUUCGAUUCAUAAGCUGAAAUUGAAAUCGAAACAGAGAGAUUAUCGAAGAUUUCUGAGAUGAUAAUCGGUUCUACAUGAUCAAGGAUUAAACAUAGUAGAUUCAUACAUUGAAGCUUGUGGAACUCAGAAACUUAUCAUAACCGAGAAAAAAAAUAAGAGAAGGUGGUAUCUAAUAAGAGAGGAUUCGUUUGUUUGAUUUCUGGUUAAAACUGAAAUAAGGGAGCAUCAAAUAUGGUAGGAUUCAAUUGAGAGAAUGCGGGUCAAAAUCACAAAAUUUGGUAAGAUUAGAGACACUUAUUUCGGGUCAAAAACAAAUCAAUUCCGGGUCAAAAAAUUAAAACAAAUUCGACCCGAUUAGCUUUUCUUAAAACUGUUACAAAAAUGUAUAGUAGAUGUGGGACUAACGUAAACCGCAAAAAAUCCAUGUGACGGCGACUCUUUCUUCGGCUUUUCUUUUGAUUCGCUGCCCUUAGCAUCCACUGAUCCACGAGACGAAAAGAGCCAUGACAAGACUUGUUCUUGGUGAACGAUGGUGUGGUCGAAGAGCUCGUAUGCCCUAGGUGUGAACCCAUAAAAUUUUCAACAAGAAAAAUGAUUUAGGGUUUUUACUCUUUUUUUGGUGCCUGAGCUUUGUUAUCAUACAACUUAUGAUAUAUCUCAAUUUCGUCUCCUUUGUUUAGUUUGUUGAAUUACAUAACAAAAGAAACGUGCUUGCGGUCUAGUAGCAUACAUUAAUCCACCAAAAAC
This is a long non-coding RNA of Arabidopsis lyrata subsp. lyrata, 774 nucleotides long. RefSeq lists it as uncharacterized. The transcript has 4 exons. Lineage: Eukaryota; Viridiplantae; Streptophyta; Magnoliopsida; Brassicales; Brassicaceae. The record is from RefSeq and is a predicted model, not a curated record.